AUGCGUCUUCUUGCUCCAACAUUCAAGUUCCAUUUCAAGGGAGGACGACGUACCAUGAUACUUUCUGUUUUGUCGAGCCCUGCUUUGGUCUCUGGUUUGAUGGUUGUACGUGCUAAAAAUCCGGUACAUUCCGUUUUGUUUCCCAUCCUAGUCUUUUGCGACACUUUUGGUUUACUUAUUUUGUUAGGUCUCGACUUCUCCGCUAUGAUCUCCCCAGUAGUUCAUAUAGGAGCUAUUGCCGUUUCAUUCCUAUUCAUGGUUAUGAUGUUCAAUCUUCAAAUAGCGGAGAUUCACGAAGAAGUAUUGCGCUAUUUACCAGUGAGUGGUAUUAUUGGACUGAUCUUUUGGUGGGAAAUGUUCUUCAUUUUAGAUAAUGAAACCAUUCCAUUACUACCAACCCACAGAUAUACGACCUCUCUGAGAUAUACGGUUUAUGCCGGAAAGGUACGAAGUUGGACUAAUUUGGAAACAUUGUGCAAUUUACUUUAUACCUACUAUUCCGUAUGGUUUUUGGUUUCUAGUCUGAUUUUAUUAGUUGCUAUGAUUGGGGCUAUAGUACUUACUAUGCAUAGGACUACAAAGGUGAAAAGACAGGAUGUAUUCCGACGAAAUGCCUUGGAUUCUAGGAGCCAUAUAAUGAACAGGACUAUUUCUCCUUUUGGCCAUAGCCAUAGAAGAAGCUUCUCCUCCAGAGCGGGGGGACCGCCUGACAAUUACAAAGAAACCUUUAAAAUGUGGAUUUAG
RNAcentral lists this ribosomal RNA (744 nucleotides) under Triticum aestivum (bread wheat). RNAcentral's name for it is "partial small subunit ribosomal RNA". The record is from RNAcentral. Lineage: Eukaryota; Viridiplantae; Streptophyta; Magnoliopsida; Poales; Poaceae.